Non-coding RNA from Malus domestica (apple), 1861 nucleotides. Lineage: Eukaryota; Viridiplantae; Streptophyta; Magnoliopsida; Rosales; Rosaceae. The record is from RefSeq and is a predicted model, not a curated record.
UCUAACGGAGGACAUGACACAAAACCGAGCGCAAUGGCGUUCUAGGAUUCAUAUAGCCGACCCCACUUAGUGGGAAAAGGCUUUGUUGUUGUUGUUGUUGUUGUUCAUUGGAAUGUUGAUUGUUACAUCAGUUCGUGGAUUCUUGACAAAUUUAAUGAAGGUAAUCCUUCUUAUGCCUGCCUUACUAUUUAUUCUUAUUUAAGUUGGAGAACCACAAUCCGCUGAUUGGAUUUCUUGAGACUGACUUUCAAAAUGCAGUCUGCAGUUUCUAGAGGGAAAAGAAAUGAGUUCUGAAUGCUUGCUUCUUUUUUUUCUUGACCGAGUUGCAUACAAAAGGGGUAGGCCACUGUAUUAAGGAACUCAGGAGCUGAAAGUUGAAACUUGAAAGACAGUUUUUCUGGAUCCGGAGAUAAGAACCAGAUGUCCCACAUUGGUCUUAGGUUGUACAUGCUAGUGCCACAAUUAUAUCAAGAAAAUAAAUGAAUUGAGCUGACCCAGGCCUUAGUCCCCUAUUAAUCACUUUCUGGGAAUAGGCCUUAGUCCCAUUUUAAUCAUUUUCUGGGAAUAGGCCUUAGUCCAUAGUGGUCUGUGGUUGUUGAAGAGCAACUGAUGGAAACAUAAAACAUCAUUUUUACGGUUUAACUUUCUUUCUGCUGUGCACAGUUCUUUUUUGCAGUUUCCAGAGUUGGAAGUAGAUCUUCUAGCAAUGUUGUAUUGUUUCUCUCUGAAAUUAUGGGAAUGUACUUUGUGUCCUCUAUUCUAUUGAUAAGGAAAAGCUUGGCGACUGAGUACAGAUUUUCCAAAUGAUGGCCUUCAGAAGUUUUUUGGUCUUGUGUCAUAUAAGCUUGAUCGCAUUCAGUCCGUCAUUUAGGUAGCUUCUGAGCUGAUGAAUGAGUAGUAAAGAGUGAGCCAUUAUCUCUUGGCAGGUUGAUCAUAACAGAUGUAUUGGGUGGAGAUAUUCAGUUUGACUUCUAUCACCGAUGGUUUGAUGCAAUCUUUGUGGCCAGUGCUUUCUUUUCUUUGCUUUUGCUUUCUGUACAUUUUACUUCUCGGAAAGCUGACAAACACCCGAUUGAUUAAUGGCAAGUAUGUAACAAAUUUACCUUUUGAAUUUAAAAAAGAAUAAGAAUUGGAUCAAAUGUAAAGGUUAAAUUGUUUGUUUAGACUAUUGCGAGCUUAUAUGCCAGGAUUUUAAUGAGAAAAGAAGAAAACUAUGGAUUUUAAAUGACUGAUUACAUAAUAGUUACUUCAAAUUCAUUUCAAAUAUAAUUCAUUUAGUUAUCUGAUAUCCACUCAGUCUAAUUAUUCUAUGAAGUAAUUUGUAACCUAGGUAUCUUUUGUUGUAGCAUGCCAAUUGCUUAAGCAUAUGCAAGAUGUUUUGGAUAUUGAUUCUCAAAUAUGGACAAGUGCUAAAUGGUAUGUUGGAGCUAAUUUUUCUGACAUGAUCGACCAAAGGAUGAGGAAUCCGAAUGGAUUGCAUCCAACAACAGUCGGUUGUCAUGUUGAUGGCGGGGAUGGUUUUAAACAGACCGGGCCGAAGGGCUGCCUGGUAUUGUAUGCUGAGAAUGGGAAGGGGAAAGGAAAGGAUGAAGGAGGUGCUGUUGAAUCUGGCAACCAUAAGAGUUGCUCCUCCAUCCUUAUUAGUUUGUUUGUCGUAUGCUUUUUGCCAUAAUGCCAUCAUUGCCACGUACAGAUUCUCUACUUUUUCCUCUUAACGCUCGAAUUCUUCCUACACUUUGGAUUUAGUCCCAUACACACAUAUAUAUAUAUAUAUAUAUAUAUAUUUUGCUUUAGAAUAUUUCAAAGCAAGAAGGGUACUAGUACUAAAUAUCUCAUUAAUAAAAGUGCACUGUGACGGGGA